This 497-nucleotide ribosomal RNA is filed under the name uncultured bacterium. Its description in RNAcentral is "partial 16S ribosomal RNA". It matches the Rfam family "Bacterial small subunit ribosomal RNA", at positions 28 to 507 of the family's 1533-position model. The record is from RNAcentral.
GAUGAACGCUGGCGGCGUGCCUAAUACAUGCAAGUCGAGCGAACAGACGAGGAGCUUGCUCCUCUGACGUUAGCGGCGGACGGGUGAGUAACACGUGGAUAACCUACCUAUAAGACUGGGAUAACUUCGGGAAACCGGAGCUAAUACCGGAUAAUAUAUUGAACCGCAUGGUUCAAUAGUGAAAGACGGUUUUGCUGUCACUUAUAGAUGGAUCCCCGCCGCAUUAGCUAGUUGGUAAGGUAACGGCUUACCAAGGCAACGAUGCGUAGCCGACCUGAGAGGGUGAUCGGCCAAACUGGAACUGAGACACGGUCCAGACUCCUACGGGAGGCAGCAGUAGGGAAUCUUCCGCAAUGGGCGAAAGCCUGACGGAGCAACGCCGCGUGAGUGAUGAAGGUCUUCGGAUCGUAAAACUCUGUUAUUAGGGAAGAACAAAUGUGUAAGUAACUAUGCACGUCUUGACGGUACCUAAUCAGAAAGCCACGGCUAACUACGUG